Molecule: transfer RNA, 57 nt
Filed under: Ictidomys tridecemlineatus (thirteen-lined ground squirrel)
Lineage: Eukaryota; Metazoa; Chordata; Mammalia; Rodentia; Sciuridae
Also listed under: 1 other name
Description: Spermophilus tridecemlineatus (thirteen-lined ground squirrel) tRNA
Rfam family: tRNA
About the family: Transfer RNA (tRNA) molecules are approximately 80 nucleotides in length. Their secondary structure includes four short double-helical elements and three loops (D, anti-codon, and T loops). Further hydrogen bonds mediate the characteristic L-shaped molecular structure. tRNAs have two regions of fundamental functional importance: the anti-codon, which is responsible for specific mRNA codon recognition, and the 3' end, to which the tRNAs corresponding amino acid is attached (by aminoacyl-tRNA synthetases). tRNAs cope with the degeneracy of the genetic code in two manners: having more than one tRNA (with a specific anti-codon) for a particular amino acid; and 'wobble' base-pairing, i.e. permitting non-standard base-pairing at the 3rd anti-codon position.
Source: Rfam by way of RNAcentral
UGGCUCAGUAGUAGAGCGUUUGCCUACCAUGCAUGAGGUCCUGAGUUUGAUCCUCAG